GGUCCUCUGGUGUAAUGGUUAGCACUCUGGACUUUGAAUCCAGCAAUCUGAGUUCGAUUCUCGGGAGGACCU
This is a non-coding RNA of Zychaea mexicana, 72 nucleotides long. The record is from the annotation of a RefSeq genome assembly. NCBI's taxonomy places the organism in Eukaryota, Fungi, Mucoromycota, Mucoromycetes, Mucorales, Lichtheimiaceae.